RNAcentral lists this microRNA precursor (100 nucleotides) under Trifolium pratense (red clover). RNAcentral's name for it is "pre miRNA mir-598". Lineage: Eukaryota; Viridiplantae; Streptophyta; Magnoliopsida; Fabales; Fabaceae. The record is from RNAcentral.
AGAUUACCAAUUCAAUGUUGAUAAUGUGGAAGACUAGGUUGGUGUCUGAAAUUGUAUCAUUGUAUCAACCUAGUCUUCCACAUUAUCAAUAUUACAAAAU